UGGUCAAUGUUGAGAUGUUAUAUUUUCUUGAACAGGGAUGAUGACAUAAAAAUUAUAUUCAAUGGAAUUAUGUGGAGAGCCA
Molecule: small nucleolar RNA, 82 nt
Filed under: Carlito syrichta (Philippine tarsier)
Lineage: Eukaryota; Metazoa; Chordata; Mammalia; Primates; Tarsiidae
Description: Small nucleolar RNA SNORD115 (ENSTSYG00000022315.2)
Rfam family: Small nucleolar RNA SNORD115
About the family: HBII-52 is a member of the C/D class of snoRNAs, which contain the C (UGAUGA) and D (CUGA) box motifs. HBII-52 is encoded in a tandemly repeated array with another C/D snoRNA, HBII-85, in the Prader-Willi syndrome (PWS) region of chromosome 15. HBII-52 is exclusively expressed in the brain but is absent in PWS patients.
Source: RNAcentral